RNAcentral lists this long non-coding RNA (1144 nucleotides) under Vulpes vulpes (red fox). RNAcentral's name for it is "lncRNA (ENSVVUG00000024633.1)". Lineage: Eukaryota; Metazoa; Chordata; Mammalia; Carnivora; Canidae. The record is from RNAcentral.
GGGGUAGAUGACCAACAGUGUCCACAACAUCUGUACAGAAAUGACCAGAAAGACAAGGCCGUACAUGAGGAAAUCUUUGGGGUUGCUUACUCUAUUCAUGAUUCUGAAGGCAGUGGAUGUUUCAUGGAUAUUUACAGACAUAAAAACAUCAAAUCAUACACUUUAAAUGUGCACGAUGAUUGUAGUCAGCUUUACUUCGAAAAAGCUGCUUUGAAAAGCAUGUCAUACCUUUAGUCAUCAUGUUGUGAAGAGCACAAAAAAAUUAAGCAACUAUCCUUCCAGUUUCCAGAAACUACUAUCUGAUUCUGCAGAGGAGCUCUUUGCGUCGGCGAUGAACGAGCAAAUUUCCCACUUAGGUCUUCAUUGUGUUGUUCUGCUUGUACCCACUACUGUCAACAAAAACGCAAAGUUUACCGCGUUCAUUGGUGGCAACUGGAGAUUGGUUAGAGACGCCAGAGUUUGGCAGAGAUGAGUGAGGAUGUUCUGUGAGCAUUGACAGACUAUGGAAUCCACAGUUGAGCAUCAUACCUUUUACCACAUGAGCAAACUAGGUCAUGAAUCGUGUCACUCAACUUACUCCUAUGACUUGGUCCCUAAAUUCUGCAGCAGGGGGUCGUGAUCAGAUGUCGUUCUUGGCUCCAUCCCCUGGGUGAUGACCAGGAGGCCUCGGGGAGGAGGUGGCCCCAGUGGGCCUGCAAAGACUCGGCCCCUCACAUGGCUGCGGAGAUGGGAAGGGCAGCUGGCCCUGGAGAGACUCCUUGGCCUUGUGACCAUGUCUGCCUUGACAGCACCGGGCCGGCGGGAUCGGAGAGCCUUUGACCCAGCAGCGUCAGGGAAAUGGAUCCACGUUUUUGACCAGAGGCCAGAGGACGGCCAGUCACUGCUUGUCAGAGCUAAGCUGGCUCAUCUACCAGAGUUUCCAUGGCUCAGGAACUCUGGAGCAGUUUACCUGGUUGGGUCUGAGUCGGAUCUCUCAUGAGGUUACAGUCAGGAUGAAGGUAGGCAGCCGUGUUGUGCCGUGAGGCUACAUGCUACAGAAGACAGGGCAAAACCAGAGGCAGCUGGGUCACUGCUACCGCAGCAGCGUGGACUAAGUGCCUUUGUCUUCUGUGUGACAGAGAGUAAAAUCCUAUCCUGUUUAAGC